ACGCUGGCGGCAGGCCUAACACAUGCAAGUCGAGCGGAAACGAGUUAUCAGAACCUUCGGGGGACGAUAACGGCGUCGAGCGGCGGACGGGUGAGUAAUGCCUAGGAAAUUGCCCUGAUGUGGGGGAUAACCAUUGGAAACGAUGGCUAAUACCGCAUGAUGCCUACGGGCCAAAGAGGGGGACCUCCGGGCCUCUCGCGUCAGGAUAUGCCUAGGUGGGAUUAGCUAGUUGGUGAGGUAAGGGCUCACCAAGGCGACGAUCCCUAGCUGGUCUGAGAGGAUGAUCAGCCACACUGGAACUGAGACACGGUCCAGACUCCUACGGGAGGCAGCAGUGGGGAAUAUUGCACAAUGGGCGCAAGCCUGAUGCAGCCAUGCCGCGUGUGUGAAGAAGGCCUUCGGGUUGUAAAGCACUUUCAGUCGUGAGGAAGGUAGUGUAGUUAAUAGCUGCAUUAUUUGACGUUAGCGACAGAAGAAGCACCGGCUAACUCCGUGCCAGCAGCCGCGGUAAUACGGAGGGUGCGAGCGUUAAUCGGAAUUACUGGGCGUAAAGCGCAUGCAGGUGGUUUGUUAAGUCAGAUGUGAAAGCCCGGGGCUCAACCUCGGAAUAGCAUUUGAAACUGGCAGACUAGAGUACUG
RNAcentral lists this ribosomal RNA (639 nucleotides) under uncultured Gammaproteobacteria bacterium. RNAcentral's name for it is "bacterial SSU rRNA". It matches the Rfam family "Bacterial small subunit ribosomal RNA", at positions 33 to 651 of the family's 1533-position model. Lineage: Bacteria; Pseudomonadati; Pseudomonadota; Gammaproteobacteria. The record is from RNAcentral.